Molecule: ribosomal RNA, 518 nt
Filed under: uncultured bacterium
Lineage: Bacteria
Description: bacterial SSU rRNA
Rfam family: Bacterial small subunit ribosomal RNA
Source: RNAcentral
AGAGUUUGAUCCUGGCUCAGAAUGAACGCUGGCGGCGUGCCUAACACAUGCAAGUCGAACGAGAAACUCCGGGCUUGCUCGGAGAAGUAAAGUGGCGCACGGGUGAGUAACGCGUGGGUGACCUGCCCCUGAAUCUGGGAUAACAUCGCGAAAGUGUUGCUAAUACCGGAUAUUGUCAUCGGAGUGCUGCUCCAAUGAUGAAAGGUGACCUCUUCAUGAAAGUUGCCGUUUAGAGAGGGGCCCGCGUACCAUUAGCUUGUUGGUGAGGUAAAGGCCCACCAAGGCUACGAUGGUUAGCUGGUCUGAGAGGAUGAUCAGCCACACUGGAACUGAAACACGGUCCAGACUCCUACGGGAGGCAGCAGUGAGGAAUUUUGCGCAAUGGGGGAAACCCUGACGCAGCAACGCCGCGUGAGUGAAGAAGGCUUUCGGGUCGUAAAGCUCUGUCAAGUGGGAAAAAAGCUUGCCGAUGAAUAGUCGGCAGGUCUGAUGGUACCGCUAGAGAAGCACCGCUAACU